CGCUGGCGGCGUGCUUAACACAUGCAAGUCGAACGGGAGGAAAAGAGAAGCUUGCUUCUUUUUGAAUCUAGUGGCAAACGGGUGAGUAACACGUAAACAACCUGCCUUCAGGAUGGGGACAACAGACGGAAACGACUGCUAAUACCGAAUGUGUUCCGGAGACCGCAUGAUUUCCGGAAGAAAGGAUGGCCUCUAUUUAUAAGCUAUCGCCUGAAGAUGGACCCGCGUCUGAUUAGGUAGUUGGUGGGGUAACGGCCUACCAAGCCGACGAUCAGUAGCCGACCUGAGAGGGUGACCGGCCACAUUGGGACUGAGACACGGCCCAGACUCCUACGGGAGGCAGCAGUGGGGAAUAUUGCACAAUGGAGGAAACUCUGAUGCAGCGACGCCGCGUGGAGGAAGAAGGUUUUCGGAUUGUAAACUCCUGUCGUUAGGGACGAUAAUGACGGUACCUAACAAGAAAGCACCGGCUAACUACGUG
This 481-nucleotide ribosomal RNA is filed under the name uncultured bacterium. RNAcentral describes it as "bacterial SSU rRNA". It matches the Rfam family "Bacterial small subunit ribosomal RNA", at positions 34 to 507 of the family's 1533-position model. The record is from RNAcentral.